This is a long non-coding RNA of Mauremys mutica (yellowpond turtle), 293 nucleotides long. RefSeq lists it as uncharacterized. The transcript has 3 exons. Lineage: Eukaryota; Metazoa; Chordata; Testudines; Geoemydidae. The record is from RefSeq and is a predicted model, not a curated record.
GUGCUUGUGCUUGUGCUUGUGCUGUGAGGCAGAUGAAUGCAGGAAGAAAAGAAAUUAUUUGAAGCAGAGAAAAACUGACGCAUGGGAGAGACUUCAAAGUGACCUGGCUGGAGGGCUAAGUCACAGGAAGAGGCAGACCACCACAAGCCGGGAAUGACCAUUGACAGGAAGUACCUGCUGGGGGGAGAGUUGCUAAAGCAGAUCCAGCCAUAAGGAGGAGCUAGUGCAGCAGAAGAUAUUUUCAAAUGACAAAAAUCCCCAAAGGACAGAGAGAGAGAGAGAGCGUGCGAAGG